UGCCAGCAGCCGCGGUAAUACGGAGGGUGCGAGCGUUGUUCGGAAUCACUGGGCGUAAAGCGCGUGUAGGCGGCGCUGUAAGUCGGAUGUGAAAGCCCUCGGCUCAACCGAGGAAGUGCAUCCGAUACUGCAGUGCUCGAAUCUCGGAGGGGGUGGUGGAAUUCCUGGUGUAGAGGUGAAAUUCGUAGAUAUCAGGAGGAACACCGGUGGCGAAGGCGACCACCUGGCCAAAUACUGACGCUGAGGUGCGAAAGCGUGGGGAGCAAACAGGAUUAGAUA
This 279-nucleotide ribosomal RNA is filed under the name uncultured bacterium. RNAcentral's name for it is "partial 16S ribosomal RNA". It matches the Rfam family "Bacterial small subunit ribosomal RNA", at positions 506 to 784 of the family's 1533-position model. The record is from RNAcentral.